Molecule: non-coding RNA, 813 nt
Organism: Oryctolagus cuniculus (rabbit)
Lineage: Eukaryota; Metazoa; Chordata; Mammalia; Lagomorpha; Leporidae
Source: RefSeq, a predicted model, not a curated record
UUCUGUGAUCUUUAAAUUUAGAGCUUCAUCUUUAUAUUAAUCAUACUGCAGGCUUUCACUGCCAAGACUGACAUCCAUCAAGUCAAAACAUCUCUACUACAGAAACAGAUAACAAGCUUCCCAACAGACCUACAAUUUGGCUACAUACUGGUCAUGGCAGGUGAAUAAAAGCCCAGGUUGAUGGCUAAGAGUAAUGCCAGAUGUUAUCAUUUUCUUUGGAAAUAUCCUGCCUAUCUUCCUGAAUUCUAUCAUCAAAACUGUUCUGAAUUACUUCUCUAAAAGUCUUAUAGCUACCAGCUCCACCCCUAACAUGAAAACAGGGAGAGGCCUUCGUAGUCUUCAACUCACCAUUCGAACUGAAUACAGAAUAUGGCCAUAACAAUGGGCUAUGACACCCACAGGCACCACCAGGCAGCCAAGAAAUAAGAAGAGCACAAAGGAGGAGUCGUUGGCAUUCUUGGAUUUCCAGUCCACGGUGCAGCCUAAUCCGUGUAUGUCCAGGAUGUACCUGUUCCAGCCAAGGAGAGGUGCUCCAGCCCACGCCAGGAAUGAUUUAUUCACUCAACAAGCACCAACUGAUUACCUAUCAUGUGCCAGACACCAUGCCCAUCUUGGAGGCUCCAUGAUGACUAAGAGAUAUAACUCUGGAUAUUGGAAAGGUCAGUCAUUCUCACAACAAUACAGAAACACAUGGAAACCAGCCUGAGGACUGUUUAUUGCACUAGUCCAGCAAGAUAUGAUGGGGCCUCAACAAGGGUAACGUUAAAGGAAUGAACAAUGAAUUCUGGAUGCUAGAGUCAUUUAACAACUAAU